Non-coding RNA from Pangasius djambal, 72 nucleotides. The record is from the annotation of a GenBank genome assembly. NCBI's taxonomy places the organism in Eukaryota, Metazoa, Chordata, Actinopteri, Siluriformes, Pangasiidae.
UCCCUGGAGGACUAGUGGUUAGGACACAGUGCUCUCAAAGCUUCGGCCCGGGUUCGAUUCCUAGCCAGGGAA